This 415-nucleotide ribosomal RNA is filed under the name uncultured bacterium. RNAcentral's name for it is "bacterial SSU rRNA". It matches the Rfam family "Bacterial small subunit ribosomal RNA", at positions 29 to 489 of the family's 1533-position model. The record is from RNAcentral.
AACGAACGCUGGCGGCAUGCCUAACACAUGCAAGUCGAACGAGACCUUCGGGUCUAGUGGCGCACGGGUGCGUAACGCGUGGGAACCUGCCCUUAGGUUCGGAAUAACUCAGAGAAAUUUGAGCUAAUACCGGAUAAUGUCUUCGGACCAAAGAUUUAUCGCCUUUGGAUGGGCCCGCGUAGGAUUAGCUUGUUGGUGGGGUAAUGGCCUACCAAGGCGACGAUCCUUAGCUGGUCUGAGAGGAUGAUCAGCCACACUGGGACUGAGACACGGCCCAGACUCCUACGGGAGGCAGCAGUGGGGAAUAUUGGACAAUGGGCGAAAGCCUGAUCCAGCAAUGCCGCGUGAGUGAUGAAGGCCUUAGGGUUGUAAAGCUCUUUUACCAGGGAUGAUAAUGACAGUACCUGGAGAAUAA